Molecule: non-coding RNA, 21 nt
Filed under: Caenorhabditis elegans
Lineage: Eukaryota; Metazoa; Nematoda; Chromadorea; Rhabditida; Rhabditidae
Source: RNAcentral
UACAAUAGCACGAAUACGAUU